This 267-nucleotide long non-coding RNA is filed under the name Lathyrus oleraceus (garden pea). RNAcentral's name for it is "Pisum sativum (pea) long non-coding RNA (PSAT_LNC035074)". Lineage: Eukaryota; Viridiplantae; Streptophyta; Magnoliopsida; Fabales; Fabaceae. The record is from RNAcentral.
AAUUAUGUGGUCCUUCUUCAACCAUGGUUGGUUUUUCUUCUGGUUUAGUAGGAGAGAAGAUAUCGGGAAUAUCGUACUUUUGUUGAUAUUCUUGUAUUCGGCGUCUUACAUAUAAGAAGUGCUCUAAUUCUUGGAUUGGUGAUGCUAAGUUAUCACCUUGUGAGCGAGUACUUGGCAUACAAUCAGGGAAAUAAGGGAGAGUAAAUUAGCUUUUAUUUUUACCUUAGUCUAUACCGUGCAACAAAAGAAUCGCACUAUUCGACUAAA